This 246-nucleotide ribosomal RNA is filed under the name uncultured bacterium. RNAcentral describes it as "partial 16S ribosomal RNA". It matches the Rfam family "Bacterial small subunit ribosomal RNA", at positions 523 to 769 of the family's 1533-position model. The record is from RNAcentral.
AUACGUAGGGGGCAAGCGUUAUCCGGAUUUACUGGGCGUAAAGGGUGCGUAGGUGGUUUCUUAAGUCAGGAGUGAAAGGCUACGGCUUAACCGUAGUAAGCUCUUGAAACUACCAAACUAGAGUGCAGGAGAGGUAAGUGGAAUUCCUAGUGUAGCGGUGAAAUGCGUAGAUAUUAGGAGGAACACCAGUGGCGAAGGCGGCUUACUGGACUGUAACUGACACUGAGGCUCGAAAGCGUGGGGAGC